Myodes glareolus (Bank vole) is the source of this 104-nucleotide small nuclear RNA. Lineage: Eukaryota; Metazoa; Chordata; Mammalia; Rodentia; Cricetidae. The record is from RefSeq and is a predicted model, not a curated record.
GUGUUUGCUUUGGCAACACAUAUAUUAAAAUUGGAACAAUACAGAGAUUAGCAUGGCCCUUGCACAAAGAUCACAUGCAAAUUCGUGAAGCUCUCCAUAUUUUU